UUUUUGUUAAGUUAUAAUCCAAUUUAUAUUUACCAAAUUUUCGCCGUGUUUUUCCUACUUUUCCGGCGUAUUUAUUACUAAAUUGGUUAAAAAAAUUAAAACUAUAAAUUAUUUACGCGGUACAAAUAAUAUAUAGCAGGCUUUCCACUUUAUAAUUUAAAUAGUCAAGAAAAAUUACUCGGGUUAUUAAAAUUUCGAAAACAUUAUUCUUAGUUUGAAUAAUUAGCAUUUGGUUUUUGAAACUAUUUUCAAUUUGAAACUUACUUUAAUAUAAAUUAUAAAAGGUAAGGAAAUUAUAUUAAAUGUAGUAAAUUACAAAAUGUUCUGUUAGUUAAAAGUUAAACAAAUAAUCGUACGUUUUUAAAGGUAUAGUUCACGUUGUAUAAUUAACGCAAAAUCUUUAACCGCUUUUUGGGUUUUUAAUAAAAUUUACCUGUUUGCCUGCCAAAAGUUUGUUGGAUUUAAUAAAUUUUCUAUUUUGAACUUAUAAAAGGUUAGUUUAAAUGCGCGGUUUACCUGUUUAUACGCGGAUAAAUUAUUAUAAUUAUAGGGUUUGUUUCUUAACAUUUAAUCUAUACUAAAGGUUUUUCCAAAAUCCGCUCUCAACUAAUAUAUUUAUAUAUAUAUUAUUGAUAAA
Molecule: small RNA, 637 nt
Filed under: Pyricularia oryzae
Lineage: Eukaryota; Fungi; Ascomycota; Sordariomycetes; Magnaporthales; Pyriculariaceae
Description: Magnaporthe oryzae sRNA M_BR32_EuGene_00128261
Source: RNAcentral